GUGCCAGCCGCCGCGGUAAUACCGGCAGCCCGAGUGAUGUCCGAUCUUAUUGGGCCUAAAGCGUCCGUAGCUGGCCGCGCAAGUCCGUCGGGAUAUCCAUCAGCCCAACUGAUGGGCUUCCGGCGGAAACUGCACGGCUUGGGACCGGAAGACUCGAGAGGUACGUCCGGGGUAGGAGUGAAAUCCUGUAAUCCCGCUCGGACCGCCGAUGGGGAAACCACCUCAGGAGAACGGAUCCGACAGUGAGGGACGAAAGCCAGGGUCUCCAACCGGAUUAGAAACCCCAGUAGUCC
This 293-nucleotide ribosomal RNA is filed under the name uncultured bacterium. Its description in RNAcentral is "partial 16S ribosomal RNA". It matches the Rfam family "Archaeal small subunit ribosomal RNA", at positions 455 to 747 of the family's 1478-position model. The record is from RNAcentral.